This 433-nucleotide ribosomal RNA is filed under the name uncultured bacterium. RNAcentral describes it as "partial 16S ribosomal RNA". It matches the Rfam family "Bacterial small subunit ribosomal RNA", at positions 29 to 507 of the family's 1533-position model. The record is from RNAcentral.
AACGAACGCUGGCGGCAUGCCUAACACAUGCAAGUCGAACGAGGCCUUCGGGUCUAGUGGCGCACGGGUGCGUAACGCGUGGGAACCCGCCCUUAGGUUCGGAAUAACUCCCCGAAAGGGGAGCUAAUACCGGAUAAUGUCUUCGGACCAAAGAUUUAUCGCCUUUGGAUGGGCCCGCGUUGGAUUAGCUAGUUGGUAGGGUAAAAGCCUACCAAGGCGACGAUCCAUAGCUGGUCUGAGAGGAUGAUCAGCCACACUGGGACUGAGACACGGCCCAGACUCCUACGGGAGGCAGCAGUGGGGAAUAUUGGACAAUGGGCGAAAGCCUGAUCCAGCAAUGCCGCGUGAGUGAUGAAGGCCUUAGGGUUGUAAAGCUCUUUUACCCGGGAUGAUAAUGACAGUACCGGGAGAAUAAGCUCCGGCUAACUCCGUG